AAUAUCAAUUGAAAUGCACUUUUUCAGGACAAUGUUUGUGAUGCUUCUUAAUUAUAGAUUUCCAAUUAGGAAUAUAAAACCAAAACAUUUAUAUAUAGUCAGAGAUCAGAUCAGGUUAUUCCUACAGUAAAAAAAUCACCUACUGCUGCUAACUCUUCUAUAAUUAAUUCAUUUCUGCUAAUGCCAAAUCAACUAAGAGAAUUUAUGAAAAUGAAAAUAUAAAACAUAGGAUAAGGUUAACAAACCAGCAAGAGAAUUGUAAUGUGUCAACCUUGUAAGCUGACAUUGAGAAUAGAAACCAAAACGAAAACCAUGAAUGAGAAAAAACGACAGUAAAGUUGAACCAGAUUGGUGGUUGAACCCACCUCGUAAGCGAAAUCUAGCAGAGCGGAGGCGAAUCCAAGCGGAACUGUGUGCUAUGUGUGACUGAUGAUGUGAAGAAGAGACGAAACCCUAGGCGUCCAACAAAGGGCAAAAUGUAGCAGCGAGUGGAGAAGAGUGAAGAAGAGCGGAGGUGAACCCUAGGCGUUGACGGAACUGUGCACCGGAACUGUGUGCUAUGUGUGAGUUAGUGAACAGACGAAGAGCUAGUGAUGAUGGGACGAAAAACAGAGAAGGUAGUGUUCUAAAUGAAAUUGCUACUGAGAGGGUCGAAGAAGGGAGAAGGAGUGUGGCAGGGAAAUGAAAGAGAUAUUUAAUCGUAGUUUUAAAUCUACGUCAUAACAAAUUAGAGAUAGGUUUAAAUUAGUUACAAGUUUGCCACCGCAUUUCAUAUUAUAACUGAUUUACAAAACUACGUUAUAAUAUGUCUUAAACUUAUUUACGAAUUUGCCACCGCAUCUCUAUUAUAACGGAUUUACAAAACUACGUUAUAAUAUAUGCGUUAUAAAAAGUCCAUUUUCCACUAGUGCACUAAGCAACCUCCUUGUAAAGGACGUUCCUUUUGUGAUGCAUGAAGAGUGCCUUAAAGCUUUUGAUAUCUUGAAGAAAAAAUUAAAUUCUGCCCCUGUAAUUGUAGCUCCU
Molecule: long non-coding RNA, 1023 nt
Filed under: Vigna radiata
Lineage: Eukaryota; Viridiplantae; Streptophyta; Magnoliopsida; Fabales; Fabaceae
Description: long non-coding RNA (VRAD_LNC015596)
Source: RNAcentral